Molecule: ribosomal RNA, 401 nt
Filed under: uncultured bacterium
Lineage: Bacteria
Description: partial 16S ribosomal RNA
Rfam family: Bacterial small subunit ribosomal RNA
Source: RNAcentral
AAUAUUGCACAAUGGUCGAAAGCCUGAUGCAUCGACGCCGCGUGAGAGAAGAAGGUCUUCGGAUCGUAAAAUUCUGUCCUCGGUGAAGAAAGAAAUGACGGUAGCCAAGGAGGAAGCCCCGGGCAACUAUGUGCCAGCAGCCGCGGUAAUAAGUAGGGGGCUAGCGUGUUCCGGAUUUACUGGGCUUAAAGGGUGAGUAGGCGGUUACAUAAGUCAGAUGUAAAAGGCUAAGGCUUAACCAUAGUAUGCAUUUGAAACUGUGUGACUUGAGUACAGGAGAGGUAAGUGGAAUUCUUAGUGUAGCGGUGAAAUGCGUAGAUAUUAGGAGGAACACCAGUGGCGAAGGCGACUUACUGGACUGUAACUGACGCUGAGUCACGAAAGCGUGGGUAGCAAACAGG